RNAcentral lists this ribosomal RNA (467 nucleotides) under uncultured bacterium. RNAcentral's name for it is "partial 16S ribosomal RNA". It matches the Rfam family "Bacterial small subunit ribosomal RNA", at positions 28 to 506 of the family's 1533-position model. The record is from RNAcentral.
GACGAACGCUGGCGGCGUGCUUAACACAUGCAAGUCGAACGGAAGGGCCCUGCUUUUGUGGGGUGCUCGAGUGGCGAACGGGUGAGUAACACGUGAGUAACCUGCCCUUGACUUUGGGAUAACUUCAGGAAACUGGGGCUAAUACCGGAUAGGAGCUCCUGCUGCAUGGUGGGGGUUGGAAAGUUUCGGCGGUUGGGGAUGGACUCGCGGCUUAUCAGCUUGUUGGUGGGGUAGUGGCUUACCAAGGCUUUGACGGGUAGCCGGCCUGAGAGGGUGACCGGCCACAGUGGGACUGAGAUACGGCCCAGACUCCUACGGGAGGCAGCAGUGGGGAAUAUUGCACAAUGGGCGGAAGCCGGAUGCAGCAACGCCGCGUGCGGGAUGACGGCCUUCGGGUUGGAAACCGCUUUCGCCUGUGACGAAGCGUGAGUGACGGUAAUGGGUAAAGAAGCACCGGCUAACUACGU